RNAcentral lists this ribosomal RNA (485 nucleotides) under uncultured bacterium. RNAcentral describes it as "bacterial SSU rRNA". It matches the Rfam family "Bacterial small subunit ribosomal RNA", at positions 31 to 507 of the family's 1533-position model. The record is from RNAcentral.
GAACGCUGGCGGCAUGCCUAACACAUGCAAGUCGAACGGUAACGCGGAGAGCUUGCUCUCUGGCGACGAGUGGCGGACGGGUGAGUAACACUUAGGAAUCUGCCCAGUAGUGGGGGACAACAUUCGGAAACGGAUGCUAAUACCGCAUACGCACUACGGUGGAAAGUGGGGGAUCUUCGGACCUCACGCUAUUGGAUGAGCCUAAGUCGGAUUAGCUUGUUGGUAGGGUAAUGGCCUACCAAGGCGACGAUCCGUAGCUGGUCUGAGAGGACGAUCAGCCACACUGGGACUGAGACACGGCCCAGACUCCUACGGGAGGCAGCAGUGGGGAAUAUUGGACAAUGGGCGCAAGCCUGAUCCAGCAAUGCCGCGUGUGUGAAGAAGGCUUGCGGGUUGUAAAGCACUUUCAGUAGAGAAGAAAAGCACAGGGUUAAUAUCCCUGAGUCUUGACGUAACCUACAGAAGAAGCACCGGCUAACUCCGUG